Molecule: ribosomal RNA, 155 nt
Filed under: chlamydia-associated clinical sample 640-G
Lineage: Bacteria
Description: partial 16S ribosomal RNA
Rfam family: Bacterial small subunit ribosomal RNA
Source: RNAcentral
UUGUACACACCGCCCGUCACACCACGAGAGUUGUUUGCACCUGAAAUUACCGGCCUAACCGUAAGAGGGAGGUACUGAAGGUGUGGAUAGUGAUUGGGGUGAAGUCGUAACAAGGUAUCCGUACCGGAAGGUGCGGAUGGAUCACCUCCUUUCUA